UACGUAGGGAGCAAGCGUUGUCCGGAAUCAUUGGGCGUAAAGCGCGCGUAGGUGGCCCCAUAAGUCCGCUGUGAAAGUCAAAGGCUCAACCUUUGAAAGCCGGUGGAUACUGUGGGACUAGAGUACGGAAGAGGCGAGUGGGAUUCCUGGUGUAGCGGUGAAAUGCGCAGAUAUCAGGAGGAACACCAAUGGCGAAGGCAGCUCGCUGGGACGUGACUGACGCUGAGACGCGAAAGCGUGGGGAGCAAACAGG
This 253-nucleotide ribosomal RNA is filed under the name uncultured bacterium. RNAcentral describes it as "partial 16S ribosomal RNA". It matches the Rfam family "Bacterial small subunit ribosomal RNA", at positions 524 to 776 of the family's 1533-position model. The record is from RNAcentral.